This 274-nucleotide ribosomal RNA is filed under the name uncultured bacterium. Its description in RNAcentral is "partial 16S ribosomal RNA". It matches the Rfam family "Bacterial small subunit ribosomal RNA", at positions 523 to 796 of the family's 1533-position model. The record is from RNAcentral.
AUACGGAGGGUGCAAGCGUUAUCCGGAUUCAUUGGGUUUAAAGGGUGCGCAGGCGGAUAUUUAAGUCAGUGGUGAAAUCCCGGGGCUCAACCUCGGAACUGCCAUUGAUACUGAAUAUCUGGAAUACGGUUGAAGUGGGCGGAAUGUAGCAUGUAGCGGUGAAAUGCAUAGAGAGGCUACAGAACACCGAUCGCGAAGGCAGCUCACUAAGCCGAUAUUGACGCUCAGGCACGAAAGCGUGGGGAGCGAACAGGAUUAGAAACCCUAGUAGUCC